Setaria italica (foxtail millet) is the source of this 141-nucleotide microRNA precursor. It matches the Rfam family "MIR2118 microRNA precursor family". The record is from Rfam. Lineage: Eukaryota; Viridiplantae; Streptophyta; Magnoliopsida; Poales; Poaceae.
GUGUGGAAGAGGAAGAAAAGAGAGUCAAAGAGUAGUGGGCAUGGGAACAUGGAGGAAGGCCUUUGGCAAUCUCAUUUUGGGUCUUCCCGAUGCCUCCCAUGCCUAUUGGUCUUUGGUUCUCCUUCCUUUUUCCUUUCAGCU